RNAcentral lists this long non-coding RNA (8670 nucleotides) under Fragaria vesca (wild strawberry). RNAcentral's name for it is "long non-coding RNA (FVES_LNC001724)". The record is from RNAcentral. Lineage: Eukaryota; Viridiplantae; Streptophyta; Magnoliopsida; Rosales; Rosaceae.
UUUACUGAUCUACAUCUACCAAAUUAAUUGUCUUUGCAAUUCUUCUUCUUCCUUUGUUUCUCUCGAAACAAAAUGGUGAUGGUCAUGGUGGAUUGGAUUUACAAGUGAUUUUCCUUGGUCUUUUGUUGAUAGAGGUCUCAGUUGUUCCCUGAAAAUGACCAGGUAUUUUCUUUCAUUUGAGUUCUCUCUAAAGAUUUCCAAAAUGUCAUGCUUUCAUUGAUAGGUCUCUAACUUCUGAAUUGAAGUUUGGCUUCAAUGUAGUUGAGUAGUCUGCUGCUGUUUGGGCCAUGAGAAUUCAGUACAUAUGAUAAUCUAUUAUUCGAUUAGUUAUUGAUAUAAAACCCAUUGGUUCAUAAAACAUGAAAAAACUGAAUAACAUUUUUUGUUAAACUUCCUAUAUAUGUUACUUCUUUAACACUUAUAGCAUGCAAUGAGUUUAUUUUCCAAUUUGUAUGUUCAGCUUAGCCAAGUUGAGAUUGUAGCAAAUAACAUUGUUUAGUUGUCACUGUCUUUCGUCAAUGACUUUCUUGCCUCAAAUACUGUCUUCCGCAGUGUUUCACAUUACUGAUCCAAGGUUAGCACGAGGGAUCCUAGGUAUGCCCCUUUUAUUGUAUCAGCUGAAAUUAAAGUGGCAUUCAUAGAGAAAAGUAACAAGGAACUUGCUUUUAUCACUUUGAUACAAAAUGACAUUCCAUUUUGCAUUCUAGAGUGUAUGUUGAGAGUGUUGUGGAUUUGCAAAAAGAAAAUUUCAAAGUUAUUUAUAAACCGGUUUCUUUUUGGUAUUGCAUUCUUUCUUAUUUUUUACUCAUUGUUAUAUAGUUUGCAUAAAAGUGUGGUGGGUUCUCAAAAUUGUUUUCUCUAAACUGGUAAUUUUUUUUGUCUUAUUUUUCUUAGACUGGUAUUCUCUACAUUUAGAUUGUUAGAUUGUAUCGUUUUUUAGUUUUCACUUUUGAAAGGUCUCUUGCAUAUACCUUAACAGUAUUGCAUAUGAAGUAUGGUGUGUGACCUCUUGAUGCCUUCUGUGUUUUGACAUGUAGAUGAGAAGGUUUUAGAUUGUUCCAAAUUGGUCAGCAUAAUGUUAAUAACCUUAUGCUAUGAUUGAAUGUGAUGUACAGGAAACAAAGAGGAAGAAGCAGCCAAUGUGGAUGAUCUUUUUCUUGAAGGGACUUGCAGCAACCAAUUCAGAGAAAGAGGAUUUGGAAGUGUUUAUAGGGGAUCAGUUUUGGGAUGAAAAACAAGUAGUUAUCAGUACUUUUAGUUUCUUUUUUCCAUGCCAAUAUGAAAUUUGUUGGUUACUGAGUUAAUUUUAACACUAUAUUUGACAUAAUGAAUAUACAGGACCUUAUGAUAAGGAAGAGCUUGCAGCAACAUCGUAUCAUUUUGCUACUGGAAAGAUCAGCUUUUAUUACCAGAAUGAAUUUGAUCUAAUGAAUGCUGUAACAAAAGAAGAAUACGUAGCCUCCCUAUAAAGGUAUUUAUUUUCAUCUGUAAUUGAUGAGCAUUGAUUUCGCUCUUUGCAACAGUUUUCAUUUCAAGCAAGGGGCAAUGUUUCUUUUACUGCGAAAUAGUCAUUUAUUACAUUUGAAGCUUGGGAAGAAAAGAGGAACGAACCGCAGCAACGCGCGGGCAAUUUUCUUAGUUAAAACAAAGCAUAAGGAACACUAACUACAGUAAUCAGGCUUAGAGCACUUGACAGUGUACAAUCCAACACUCCAGACCUGCUCCCCAUGCUAUGUUUAAACUUGAUCAUUAAUUUGAGAUUAUCACUCGCUCACACUCCCCCUCUCUCCAUUUCUGUUGUAGAUAUGUAGUGAAGAUCAGUAAUAUUUCAGACAUGAAUAUGAACAAUGGAUGAAUCAAAAGCAACGGUUAAACACAUAGUUAGCGUUGGUGACUUUUGAUAACUAAAAUUUGGAUUGUUCGACCAAGUAAGAAAAAUUCAAUAAUGAAAUUGCAAGACAAUAUUCACAAUCCUAAUCUUAUGAGGUAAGGUGUGAGAUACUGAACCUAUUAGGAACAAGAGAAUAUUACACAGUAUUCUCUCCUUGUCUUAUGAGGUAGACAAUCCUAACCUCAUGAGGUAAGACUCACGCCAACACUGUUUAAGGGUAGCAGAGGCUUUCCUUUUCUUCAUCUCAGUAUUUUCUAUUUCUCUUCUAUUAGUUUCAAUUUUGAGUUCAGUUUCGUUCCCGUCAAAUUUCAACCACUACAUCAAUGGCCGACCCGACCCAACUCGAAUCAACUCGAAAGCUCCGAAACAUCUGCAUCUUGGCCCACGUUGACCACGGCAAGACCACCCUCUGCGACACCUAAUCUCAGUCUCCGACGGCGGCAUCAUCCACCCCAAGCUGGCCGGCCACCUCCACUACAUGGACUCCCUCGUCGAGGAGCAGCGCCGCGCCAUCACCAUGAAAAGCUCCUCCAUCGCUCUCCAUCAUCACUGCCACUCCAUCACCAUCAUCGACUCCCCGGGCCAUAUUGACUUCUGCAGCGAAGUCUCCACUACUGCCAGGCUCAGUGAUGGUGCGUUGAUCCUAGUCGACGUCGUCGAGGGCGUACACAUCCAAAUGCAUGCCGUCUUGCACCAGGCCUGGAUCGAGAAGCUCACGCCGUGUUUGGUGAUCAACAAGAUCGAUAGGUUGAUCUCCGAGCUCGCGAUGAGCCAUAGCGAGCCGUUUGUUAGGUUGUUGAGGAUUGUUUCUGAGGUUAAUAACAUUGUUAGUUGUUUUAAUUCUGUGAAAUACUUGAAUGAUGUCGAUGGCAUUGUUUCAGGUGUUAGUGUCACAUUCCGACUCUUAAAUUUUUACCUUAUUUACUAGUUUGGUAUUAAGAAGAGUUUUACUGUCAUCGUCAAUGAGUUUAUAGUUUAAAGGGUCCCUAAAGAUGUUUUGGGGGACGAUUAUUUCAGAGGAAUUUUUCGUAAGAGAAAAUUGUGACGACGGUUAAAAUGAUAAAUUUUAGCUAGUAAAAAGUAAUUUUUAUUAGGGUAUUAUUUUGUGGUGUUAUUUUUGGAGUUGGAUUGGUAUUAGUUGGAUUAGGGGACCGGUUGGGAGGCCCAUUUCCUUCCUUCUCUUUUUCUUCUCUCUCAAUUUCCCUGACUCUCUCUCCCUGCCGGAUCUUUAGCACGACCGUCUGCCACCGUCCGGCCACCGCAGACCGCCGCUCAGAUCCCUUUCGGUCCGCUGUCUUCUCCUCUCCAUUUCUGGGUAGGUGACCGAACCCCUACCACCGUCGUGUGGAGGAAAUCGCCUUUGGAAGUCCGGCUGCCCUCUCGCCGGAGCUCCUUCUUUCGGCCGCCACAGCCAACUAUCAUUGGCUCAUCUUGUAGCUCUCAGCUAGGGUAGUAAUCCCUCAAAAGGAGUCGGCUCGAUUCGUGCUUGGUAAGGAGAAAUGUUUAAUUGAAAUUCUUGGGCUCCAUGUUAUGUUUUGGUUCGAUUACCCUAUCUAGGCUUGGAAUUGGUGUUUGUGCUAGUUAGGAAAAUUGUAGAGUGGGUUGAGAGAAAGAUGCUGUCAAAUUUUGGUAGGCAUUAGAGGUUGUCGAAGUCAGUCUCCGGCCGCCGCUGUUAGGGGGAUUUUAAUGGUUUUAAAUGUGUUAUAUUAAGGGGAGUUUAAUGAUGUGAAUCUUUGAAUUUUUUAAAGAGUUUUGGAUAGGUUUGAGAUUUUUCAAAAUUUAGUAUUUUGGCGGUUAAUUAGGGUAGAAUCCGGCUGUUGGAUUAAAGUUGUUUAAUCUGUGGAAAGUUGUAAUAAAGCUGCCGAUUAUGGUGUUGAAGUUUGGAUCGUAUCGUUUUAGGAAUGUCGAAGGUAGGCAAUGAUCAACGUGGUUACGGCUCACAUUUAAUUUUGCCUAUUUUGUAUAAAUAUUGGAUUUUUGGUUGAGAAUUUAAUUAUAUAUUUGGAACAGAACGUGAGGAGGCUCGAGCAGAAGAGGCCUCGGAUUGACAUCAGGCUUACGCCUAAUUUGUGAGUGGACUUUUAUUUUAAAUAAUAUGCAUCCAAAUGGUUUAUUGAUGAAUAAUUUCUUUUGUUGGAGAAUAACCGAAAUUGAGAAUUACGGGGAAUAUAUAUAUAUAUUCAUACAUGGAUUAUUAUGAGGAUAGUAUGUAUAUAAAUAAAUGCUAGCUAGCCAUAUGUGUUUUUCCACCAUAAUGAGAUAAAAUUCCAUUAUGGUGUGACGUGAGCGUUAGACACAAUCGUCGUAGCCCCUAUAUAAAUAUAAGAAUUUAUAUAGGGAAUAUGCUCGUAUAUACACUCGUGUUUUUCUGCCAUAAUGAGGUAAAAUUUCAUUAUGAUGUGAUGAGAGCGUUAGACACAAACGUCGUAGCCUUGUAUGAAUUUAUAUUUUUCUUAUUUCUUCAUAGAAAUCGUACAAGGAAUACGACGAGUGUAAAUACAUACAUACAUAUAUUAUUUUAGCAUGAGAGGCUCUAUUUUAUAAAGUUUUGGAGACUAGCUCGUGUAUUUGCUAGUUUAUGAGUUGAGAGCUUUUGAGCUUAUUGUAUUCAAUUUAAUUCUUCUAAAGGAGUUAAAUUAGGAAAACAUAAAUAUUUUUUAUUUAUUUAUUUCUGUCUACUCACUCUAACGUUUGCGAAUGUUUUCCCUGGGCCUUUCAUUUUAAAAAUGCCCAGUCUGCAGAGUUCGGGUUGGUACUAGUAAGAGGCGAGGCCUAGUGACCCACAUCUCUACCACUUUUCACCAGUAGGUUACCUGCUUAACCUACCAGUGUAUUUUCUUGCUUCUGCUAGUGUUAGUAGCUCAGAUUACCCUUGAGGAUAAUGUGUGAUAGUUCGGUUGUGUGCUAAGUCUUUGAUUAUAUUUUGGAAUAUUCUGAGGAUGACGUAUGUUAUAUUAGAUGGAUAUUUACUUGAUGGAUUGGAAGAUGUUGUAUUUAUUACUUUGGAGUGGUUGUGUUUGUGAGGAGCGGGUGGCUCCAAGAGUUAAGGUUGGAUGUGUCGAUAUAUGAGUGUUAUUUGAAUUUUUUUUCAGGUUAGGGUUGUUCAUUUGUAAGGGAGGUUAUGCUGAAUUUUUCGGUAAAUUUCCUUUAGAGGUGGACCCCGCAGGAUUUACUUCAGGUUUUAGGAUGAAAUUCGGGGUGGGUCCUGACAGUUAGAAUGGACUUAGCAUUAUAAGUCCUAAGGCAUGACAACCUCUAUAGAAUAACAGAAUGAACAUUGUGAAUUAAUUGCAUUAUCAUAUAUACUAUGUUUAUCUAAAUGAAAUGGUUAGAUAAACAAUGAAAUACAUUUGAAUUAUCUUGUAUAACAAGAUAAUAGAGAUAGGCUAAUAUUGUGGUAUUUGUGUGGAACUCAAACUCUUUGAUGGUUAAGAGUUUGAGCUAUCCAAAAUACAAUAUAAAAGGAGGUCCCUGUGCACACAAAUAUACGCCAAAUAUCUUAGCACCUUCUUCCCCCCAAUCUAAUCCAAUGCUCAGGCCCAGGAUUGGAUUGAAACCGUGCUAAAACUCCGACUGCAUAAGCCAAGUCAGGCCUUGUGCAUGUCUGUGCAUACAUUAAACUCCCAAUUAGUUGUGCAUAAGGCUUACCCUCCAUGUUCUGCUUUUCUAAAUCAGUCUUAGGACACUGAUCCUUGUUUAGCUUAUCACCUUUUGUCAUUGGAACAUCAUUAGCUGAACAAGUCUCCAUAUCAAAUCUUUUCAAAACCUUCCUGACAUAUCCCUCCUGUGACAAUCCCAAAACUCUGCUGGCUCUAUUUCUCUUAAUCUCAAUACCAAGCACAUACCUAGCUUCACCUAAAGGGGAGGACAAUAUAAUGGUAGACACACUGAGAAGGGACAACACAAGGGUCUAUUUGCACUGUUUUUGCAAGAAAAUAGGAGCUAGGUUCAGUACACUGCACCAGGUACUCCUGAACAGAAUGGGGUAGCUGAGAGGAGAAACAGGACUUUUCUUAACAUGGUGAGGUGCAUGAUGUGCACUUCAGGGCUUCCCAAAUUUUUGUGGGGGGAAGCAUUGAAAACUGCCAAUUACAUCACUAAUAGAACCCCAACCAAGGCAGUGACAAAGACACCAUUUGAAUUGUGGAAGGGUAGAAAGCCUAGUGUGAUGCAUGCACAUGUGUGGGGGUGUAAGGCAGAAGCCAGAGCCUACAAUCCUAAAGAGUCCAAAUUGGAUUCGAAAACCAUUUCAGCUUUUUUUCAUUGGUUACCCUGAGAAUUCUAGAGGUUUUAAAUUCUAUUGCCCUUCCCAUACCAGUAGAACAAUUGAAACCAAUAAAGCAGUGUUUUUGAAUGAGAUGGCUUUUACUGACAAGUUUGAUGAUUUUGUGCUUGAAGAAUUGGUUGAGAAUGAUAUGUGUGAUGUUCACAUGUCUACUGUGUUCGAGCCUAUUGUAACCAUUCAUAUACCUUCAACUGAGAAUUAUGCAGAUGCCAUAGUGCCAAACCAAAAUGAAUUUUCAGUUAUGCAAAAUUCAGUAGCUCAAGAAAUGCCUAAUUGAGUAGUAGAAAAUACAACUGAGAAUGUUGUUGCACCACCACAGCCUGUUUUGAGAAGAUCUCAGAGAGAGAGAAAGUCAGCCUUAGCCAAUCUAGCUAUAGACUACCAGAUUUAUUUGCAGGAAAUAGAGUUUGAUGUUGGUGAGUUGGAUGAUCCCACUACUUUUAAAGAAGCUAUUGAAAGCUCGAAUUCUCAAAAAUGGGAGGAAGCAAUGGUAUCUGAAUUAAAAUCCAUGGAAGCCAAUGAUGUUUGGAAACUAGUUCAGUUGCCUCAGAAUGUAAAAGCCAUAGGAUGUAAGUGGGUGUAUAAGACCAAAACCAAUGCAGAUGGAAGUAUAGAAAGAUUUAAAGCUAGGUUGGUAGCUAAGGGGUUUACACAGCAAGAAAGGAUAGAUUAUAAUGAGACUUAUUCUCAUGUUUCUACAAAAGAUGCUUUCAUAUUGAUUAUGGCUUUAGUAGCUCACUUUAAUUAAUAUGGAAUUGCACCAGAUGGAUGUUAGAACAACUUUUUUGAAUGGUGAGCUACUGGAGGAGAUUUUCAUGAAGCAACCUGAAGGGUUUAUGGAACCUGGAACUAAGAAGUUAGUGUGUAAGUUGAAUAGAUCGAUUUAUGGUCUGAAGCAGACAUCUAGGCAAUGGUAUUUAAAAUUUGAUGCAGUGGUUCGAAGUUUUGGCUUUAAGGAAAAUCAAGUAGAUGAGUGUGUGUACAUGAAGACUGAGGGAAAAGAUUUUAUUUUUCUCAUUUUUUAUGUUGAUGAUAUUCUACUUGCUACUACCAGCUUGACGUUACUGAAAAAUACUAAAGGUUUCUUGUUGAAGAAUUUUGACAUGCAUGAAAGAUUUAGGUGAAGCUAGGUAUGUGCUUGGUAUUGAGAUUAAGAGAAAUAGAGCCAACAGAGUUUUGGCAUUGUCACAGGAGGGAUAUGUCAGGAAGAUUCUGAAAAGAUUUGAUAUGGAGACUUGUUCAGCUAAUGAUGUUCCAAUGACAAAAGGUGAUAAGCUAAACAAGGAUCAGUGUCCCAAGACUGAUUUAGAAAAGAAGAACAUGGAGGGUAAGCCUUAUGCACAGCUGAUUGGGAGUUUAAUGUAUGCACAGACAUGCACAAGGCCUGACUUGGCUUAUGCAGUCGGAGUUUUAGCACGAUUUCAAUCCAAUCCUAGGCCUGAGCAUUGGAUUGGGGGGAAGAAGGUGCUAAGAUAUUUGCAGAAGACUAAGGCACAUAUGUUAGUCUACAGACAAGUGAAAAACUUAGAAAUUACUGCAUAUUGUGACUCAUAUUUUACAUCCAAGUUUCCAUCAUCCAAUAAGUCCACCACUGGCUAUGUUUUUAUUUUAGCAGGAGGAGCAGUAGCUUGGAGAAGUGUAAAACAAGAAUUGAUUUCCACUUCUACUAUGCAGGUUGAAUUCAUCGCAAUUUAUGAUUCGGUGUGUGAAGGUGUUUGGCUGAAAAAUUUCCUGAUUCAGACAAGACUUGUUGAUAGCAUUUUGUCUAGGCCAAUGAAAUAUUUAAGUGAUAAUUCUGCUGCUGUGUACUUCACUAAAAAUAAUAAGAGGUCCAAUAAUUCUAAGCAUUUGGGACUUAAGCAUUACAGUGUGAGGGAAAAGGUGAAACAUGGUGAGAUUGAAGUUUUGCAAAUUGACACUUUAUCUCAACUUGCAGACCCUUUUACCAAAGCCUUGACAGCAGUGAGUUUUGAAGAACAUGCAAGGAGCAUUGGUAUUUUACCUGAUUUAGAUGCUUGAGGAAGUUAGAGAACAAUGGGAGCAUGUUUUGUUUAUUUUAUAAUUUGUUCUUCAAUAAAUUUGUGGAAAAAAUGUGUACUUGUUUCUCAUAUUGAAAGUUUGGCAUUUUGCCACUUUCAUUGGAUUGCAAUAAAAUUUCAGUUCAAACUAUAUGAUUGCAAUGAUAUUUAUUUGAUUUCUGAAAUUCAUAAUGUGAAUACAACGACCUGUUUUGCUUGGAUAUUUUAAAGCAACUUUGCAUAUAUGUGAAAUGUAUAUAUGCUGCAUCAUUCUACAGGUUAAAGGAACACAUGAAUAUUUCUUUUGAAAUUUUGUGUUGAGGUUCUUGCAUACUGAACCAAGGAUUGGACUGCUUUGCUUAAGUGUUUGAUUAUUUCCAUUUUCAUAAGGAAACACUUUUGCAAUUCUAUUAUCUCUGAUUAGUCAUGUGUUAUAUUUAGAGUUGUGUUGGUGAUUUUCAAGUUGAUGUGUUUAG